AAAGUUUUGGGGGUACUGUUGCUGGUCUUUUACAAGGCAUGUGCACGUACUUCUAAUCUAUUCAUCCACCUGUGCAUCUUUUGUAGAAGUUCUUUCAGGUUGGCUUGCAGGUCCUUUGGACUUUGUAUUGGCUAAUAUGUGAGGCUUCUAUGUCUUUACAAACCAGUUAAGUAUGUUUAGAAUGUGUUGUAUUGGGACUUCAUUGACCCAUUAAACUAUACAACUUUCAGCAACGGAUCUCUUGGCUCUCCCAUCGAUGAAGAACGCAGCGAAAUGCGAUAAGUAAUGUGAAUUGCAGAAUUCAGUGAAUCAUCGAAUCUUUGAACGCACCUUGCGCCCUCUGGUAUUCCGGAGGGCAUGCCUGUUUGAGUGUCAUUAAAUUCUCAACUUCAAUAGUUUGUAAUGAGCUGCUGAAGCUUGGAUGUGGAGGUUUUGCUGGCGUCUUAGUAUGUUCGGCUCCUCUUAAAUGCAUUAGUGGAACCCGUUUGUUGGAUAUCCAUAGUGUGAUAAUUAUCUACGCUUUGGUUGAUUCAAUGAACUCUUUGGACGUCUUUUCAGAGUUGCUUAGGCAUUCUGGUGUGGGUAUUGUACUUGUUGCUUUACCUGGUUCAUUAGAGUUGGGAUAUCUGCUCUCUAACUGUCUGUGUAUGCGGACAAUUUCUUGAUAUUUGACCUCAAAUCAGGUAGGACUACCCGCUGAACUUAAGC
This 708-nucleotide ribosomal RNA is filed under the name uncultured Gymnopus. RNAcentral's name for it is "eukaryotic LSU rRNA". The stretch from base 222 to 375 matches the Rfam family "5.8S ribosomal RNA". The record is from RNAcentral. Lineage: Eukaryota; Fungi; Basidiomycota; Agaricomycetes; Agaricales; Tricholomataceae.